This is a long non-coding RNA of Oxyura jamaicensis (ruddy duck), 107 nucleotides long. RefSeq lists it as uncharacterized. The record is from RefSeq and is a predicted model, not a curated record. The transcript is spliced from 4 exons. NCBI's taxonomy places the organism in Eukaryota, Metazoa, Chordata, Aves, Anseriformes, Anatidae.
AAACCUUUACAUUAAAAGGUAACACAUGGAGUAAUAAUUUGUGUCAAGAAGAUGGUUGAUGUUAAUAAAGAAGGGGGAAAUGUGGGAGUGUGGCCAUGGUUGGUGAU